RNAcentral lists this ribosomal RNA (324 nucleotides) under Sphaerotilus sp. RNAcentral's name for it is "bacterial SSU rRNA". It matches the Rfam family "Bacterial small subunit ribosomal RNA", at positions 565 to 889 of the family's 1533-position model. Lineage: Bacteria; Pseudomonadati; Pseudomonadota; Betaproteobacteria; Burkholderiales; Sphaerotilaceae. The record is from RNAcentral.
GCGUGCGCAGGCGGUUCUAUAAGACAGAUGUGAAAUCCCCGGGCUCAACCUGGGAACUGCAUUUGUGACUGUAGAGCUGGAGUACGGUAGAGGGGGAUGGAAUUCCGCGUGUAGCAGUGAAAUGCGUAGAUAUGCGGAGGAACACCGAUGGCGAAGGCAAUCCCCUGGACCUGUACUGACGCUCAUGCACGAAAGCGUGGGGAGCAAACAGGAUUAGAUACCCUGGUAGUCCACGCCCUAAACGAUGUCAACUGGUUGUUGGGAAGGUUCCUUCUCAGUAACGUAGCUAACGCGUGAAGUUGACCGCCUGGGGAGUACGGCCGC